AUGGAGGAUGACGGCGGGUUUCAGACCCAGUUCGCCUCAGUGAUGGAGAGCGUGCUGAAGGCGGCCGUCGGCGAGGCCACCAAGCUGUUCGAGCGCACCCUGCGGCAGCUGAGAGCCGAGCUCGUCCGCUUGAAGCAGGAGAAUGUGGACUUGAAGACCGGCGCUUUUGCUCACCAAUUCAAGGCAAGGCUCGCCGCAGAAGGAGCGCAGAGGACCGGUCAGACCGCAGGACCACCCAGGCGGGAUGUUGGCGUACAGUGUGAAAAGCCCCUCCUGGUGGAAAGAUGCUGCAGCCCAGCCCCGAUUGGCCUUCAACUACCAGAUAUCGCAAGUGAUGGUCUUGCAGAUUUGUGUUCCAGUGCUGCAGAGGAUGGAAACAGACAGCUUGCUUUGCUGCUCAUUAAAAAAGAACCUCAGGAGACUGACUGUGAUGACUAUGCACCUGGAUACUUUUUACUGAAGCAAGAGGGUGCUGAGCCAAUACUGGUGCGCAAGGAGCCCUUUAAGAACACAGUGGAAAAAGGUAAGGGAGUUACUGUAACUGGACAGAACAUUGU
Pygocentrus nattereri (red-bellied piranha) is the source of this 557-nucleotide long non-coding RNA. Lineage: Eukaryota; Metazoa; Chordata; Actinopteri; Characiformes; Serrasalmidae. The record is from Ensembl.